Molecule: ribosomal RNA, 585 nt
Filed under: uncultured bacterium
Lineage: Bacteria
Description: partial 16S ribosomal RNA
Rfam family: Bacterial small subunit ribosomal RNA
Source: RNAcentral
UGGGGAAUUUUGGACAAUGGGCGAAAGCCUGAUCCAGCAAUGCCGCGUGUGUGAAGAAGGCCUUCGGGUUGUAAAGCACUUUUGUCCGGAAAGAAAUCCUUGGCUCUAAUACAGUCGGGGGAUGACGGUACCGGAAGAAUAAGCACCGGCUAACUACGUGCCAGCAGCCGCGGUAAUACGCAGGGUGCAAGCGUUAAUCGGAAUUACUGGGCGUAAAGCGUGCGCAGGCGGUUUGCUAAGACCGAUGUGAAAUCCCCGGGCUCAACCUGGGAACUGCAUUGGUGACUGGCAGGCUAGAGUAUGGCAGAGGGGGGUAGAAUUCCACGUGUAGCAGUGAAAUGCGUAGAGAUGUGGAGGAAUACCGAUGGCGAAGGCAGCCCCCUGGGCCAAUACUGACGCUCAUGCACGAAAGCGUGGGGAGCAAACAGGAUUAGAUACCCUGGUAGUCCACGCCCUAAACGAUGUCAACUAGUUGUUGGGGAUUCAUUUCCUUAGUAACGUAGCUAACGCGUGAAGUUGACCGCCUGGGGAGUACGGUCGCAAGAUUAAAACUCAAAUGAAUUGACGGGGUCAUAGCUGUUUCCU